Oryctolagus cuniculus (rabbit) is the source of this 133-nucleotide small nuclear RNA. Its record names the gene U2. It matches the Rfam family "U2 spliceosomal RNA". Rfam says of the family: U2 is a small nuclear RNA (snRNA) component of the spliceosome (involved in pre-mRNA splicing). Complementary binding between U2 snRNA (in an area lying towards the 5' end but 3' to hairpin I) and the branchpoint sequence (BPS) of the intron results the bulging out of an unpaired adenosine, on the BPS, which initiates a nucleophilic attack at the intronic 5' splice site, thus starting the first of two transesterification reactions that mediate splicing. Lineage: Eukaryota; Metazoa; Chordata; Mammalia; Lagomorpha; Leporidae. The record is from Ensembl.
AUAAUUUGGGAGGAAAGGCAAUUUCCAUGUGCAUAAAUGGAUUUGUGGAGCAGGGAGUUGGAAAAGGAGCUUGCUUUGUCCACUCCAUUCAUUGACCUGGUAUUGCAGUACCUCUGGGAAUGGUGCACUCCCU